Molecule: ribosomal RNA, 745 nt
Filed under: uncultured bacterium
Lineage: Bacteria
Description: bacterial SSU rRNA
Rfam family: Bacterial small subunit ribosomal RNA
Source: RNAcentral
ACGCUGGCGGCAGGCCUAACACAUGCAAGUCGAGCGGUAGAGAGAAGCUUGCUUCUCUUGAGAGCGGCGGACGGGUGAGUAAUGCCUAGGAAUCUGCCUGGUAGUGGGGGAUAACGUUCGGAAACGGACGCUAAUACCGCAUACGUCCUGCGGGAGAAAGCAGGGGACCUUCGGGCCUUGCGCUAUCAGAUGAGCCUAGGUCGGAUUAGCUAGUUGGUGGGGUAAUGGCUCACCAAGGCGACGAUCCGUAACUGGUCUGAGAGGAUGAUCAGUCACACUGGAACUGAGACACGGUCCAGACUCCUACGGGAGGCAGCAGUGGGGAAUAUUGGACAAUGGGCGAAAGCCUGAUCCAGCCAUGCCGCGUGUGUGAAGAAGGUCUUCGGAUUGUAAAGCACUUUAAGUUGGGAGGAAGGGCAGUUGCCUAAUACGUAACUGUUUUGACGUUACCGACAGAAUAAGCACCGGCUAACUCUGUGCCAGCAGCCGCGGUAAUACAGAGGGUGCAAGCGUUAAUCGGAAUUACUGGGCGUAAAGCGCGCGUAGGUGGUUUGUUAAGUUGGAUGUGAAAUCCCCGGGCUCAACCUGGGAACUGCAUUCAAAACUGACUGACUAGAGUAUGGUAGAGGGUGGUGGAAUUUCCUGUGUAGCGGUGAAAUGCGUAGAUAUAGGAAGGAACACCAGUGGCGAAGGCGACCACCUGGACUGAUACUGACACUGAGGUGCGAAAGCGUGGGGAGCAAAC